This 272-nucleotide ribosomal RNA is filed under the name uncultured bacterium. RNAcentral describes it as "partial 16S ribosomal RNA". It matches the Rfam family "Bacterial small subunit ribosomal RNA", at positions 524 to 794 of the family's 1533-position model. The record is from RNAcentral.
UACGGAGGGUUAGCGUGUUCGGAAGUUACUGGCGUAAAGGCGGUGCGCAGGCGGUUUGUUAAGCGAGAUGUGAAAGCCCCUGGGCUCAACCUAGGAAUAGCAUUUCGAACUGGCGAACUAGAGUCUUAUAGAGGGGGGUAGAAUUCCAGGUGUAGCGGUGAAAUGCGUAGAGAUCUGGAGGAAUACCGGUGGCGAAGGCGGCCCCCCUGGACAAAGACUGACGCUCAGGCACGAAAGCGUGGGGAGCAAACAGGAUUAGAUACCCCUGUAGU